AUAAAUUCAACUAAAGAGGGGAGCAAUCCCCUUCUUUAAACACAAUGUGCAUUGUAAUUGUCUCUGGUGGGUCAAGCUCGCUUGCCCACUGUAUUUAAACUCUUUUGCUUUAUUUUGGACUUUAGUUUAAGAAUAUAAUUCUAA
RNAcentral lists this unclassified non-coding RNA (144 nucleotides) under uncultured Chytridiomycota. RNAcentral's name for it is "sequence contains ITS1". Lineage: Eukaryota; Fungi; Chytridiomycota. The record is from RNAcentral.